AUGCUGGCACCCAGAGAAAGACAGAGUCAGAGCUGUCUGUCUUUGCAGACGGCCAUGCAGCUGCAGGUGUGGGGGCUGCUGAAUAAAGCCAUGUCUCAUCUACCUGCUGUCUCUCUAGUGUUCUUCCAGUUUCCUGCCCCACAUCCACCCACUCCCCUCAGCCCUCAGCUGGGGCUGGAACCUAACCCUGAGCAUACUUGGUGUAGUCAGCAGGAUGAGGUGAGUAGGUCUUCAGCCCCUGAGGCUCCCGGGUUGGCUAUGUGGCCACAGCAUGGGCUGUGGUACCCCGUGGCAGAGAUGCUGCUCGGGUAGGCCCCAGUGGAAACGUGGGAGGCAGUGAAUGGGUCUCCCAUGAGUGUGGAGAAGCAUCUGGAAGCUCACAGCACCAAGAAGGAAUGACCUUUGCCGGCAGAGUCGGAUGGGCGUUUCUGAUUCAGUCAGAAACUGAGUUUCAUGCUCAGUCCCUGCAGGACACAGCACAGCAGCUGCAGCUGUGUGGACAGUUAGCACAAGGGCAGGAUGACCACACGUUAAUCGAGUGGCUAAUGGCAGCCAUAUGGACUGUUUGGAAUGACGCCAGAAAGAUACCAGAAACUGUGAGUAAAUGGCAGUCAUAUACUAAUUUGGUGCAGAUACUCUGAGAGCUGGGUAUGCAGCAGGCUGUUUGAUCUAAACACCCGGGGACCAGAUGAUGAACACUUUACCUCGCACAUGAGGAGUCUUGUGCUGGGCUCAUUGCCCCCGAGUGCUUUUGACUCUCUAGCUGCUGUUCUCACCCCAUAUGUGGGGUGCCACAUACAUGAAGUGACUACUGUUAUGGCAGUCCUGGGGGAGGCAGAAGGCAUCAGCUGGACCGGGGAACCCGUGCCAGAAAGAAGGGGAAGGUGCCCCCUCCGCAGAUAACCAUCCCAUGUGAUAAAAAGCAGCCUGGCAGGUGACCUGCAUGCAGAUGUGGAUUGAUUUACUUGCAGCUGGGGUUGCUCCGGAGAAAACUAACAGGCAACCCAAUGGAAUGCUCUUGGCUCUUUGGAGGCAACUGUCCCCAGAGCAGCAAUUCCGGAGAAUGCUUAAAUGGGGGGUGAAGCAAUGUUGUUCAACCCACUCCCGCCUGGACACCGCAACUCAAGGACUGUUUGCAGACAGGCGGAGAUAUGGAGCCUUUCUUGUUUGAUUAGGGAACUGGCUGAGAUAUGCAGCUCGGUGUGGGGAACCAGACAACCAGAGGCUGUAUGUGGUGCUAGUAAUCCGCUGGUCCCCGACUAAUGUACAGUGGGUCACAGCGGGUCCUAGCACUGGUAGAUACUGGUGCAGACUGCAGCCUAGUUUAUGGGAACCCGGAUAAGUUUUCUGGCAGAGCUGCAUUUAUUACCAGCUAUGAAAGCUGGUCAGUGAAAGUGAAACCUGUGUCUCUUUAUCUUGGCAUCAGCCACUUGGCUCUCCGCCUAUACACUGUGUAUGUCUCUCUCAUACCUGAAUAUAUUCUGGCAGUGGACAUUUUGCAUGGUCUGGACUUGCACACCAUGGCUGGAGAAUUCAGGCUCUGAGUUAGUGCAGUAAAGCUGAUACUGCAGGGACAAUACACAUCACCAGCCCAAGCUCUGCCACAACCCCAACAGGAUACCUCCACUCAUCAAUACUGUUUGUCAGGGGGGCAUACAGCCAUAACUGAGACUAUUCAGAAGUUAGAGGAGGUGCAAAUAGUGCAUGGCACCCAUAGCCCCUACAAUUCCCUGGUAUGGCCAGUCAGAAAGCCUGAUGGAACUGGGCGAAUACCAGUGGAUUAUCGGGAACUGAAUAAAGUAACACCCUCUCAGCAUGCAGCUGUACCCUCCAUCAUGGAUUUGAUGAACCGCUUGACAACGGAACUGGGACAGUACUACUCUGUGAUGAAUGUGAAUAAUGCAUUCUUCUCCACUGACAUUGCUCCAGAGAGCCACGAACAGCUUGCCUUCAUGGGAGGAUGACAAUGGACUUUCACAGUGUUGCUGCAGGGCUAGAUGCAUAGCCCCACCAUGUGUCAUCGUUUUAUUGAUAAUGUCAUAUUAACCUCCGAUUAUCUUGCAGAUUUGAAAGCGACAAUGCCCCUCUUGCCUGGGAUUGGAUGGUGAGGUUGAGACAGCUGUCCUGGCUAUCUCAAGCAGGCUAUUUAGCAGGCACAAGCCCUAUGGGUAGUUGAUCAGAGGUGCCCAUUUAGGCUAGAUGUGCAUGUGACCACAGAUAGUUUCAGUUAGGGCCUAUAGCAGUGCACGGAGUGCUUGAGUAUGCCAGUAGGCUUUUGGCCCCAACUAUGGAGCUGAGCUUGUCUUUAUUGAUAGAGAAGCAGUUAGUAAUAGCAGGAUGGGUAUGUUCAUGGAUAAUGACCCCCUGGACUGGGAAGCAGUUAGUAACUGCAUAUGCUGCCCUUCAGACUCAUAAGAGCAUGGCAGAACAGGCUACAGUCAUCAUGCAGAUGACUUACCCAAUAGCAGGAUGGCUGCUACGUUCAUGGGUAGCGACCCUUCCAGACUGGGACAGCACAGACUGGGACAGCACUUUAUCAAAGUGGGGCACCUACUUAGAGCAGUGAAGUACACUGAAUACAAGUCCCUUAGCAGCAGAGUUACAAGAGGUCUUAGGGCCUGUAGUCCUCAUGCAAGAUAAGGCCAUGGAGCCUGAGGCACCCCCGGCCCCAUUCCUGAUGAGGCAUAAUAUAUAGACAGGUCUAGCCAGAGUACUGCUGCUGCCUGGAUUGCUGCUGCAGUCCAGCCUACUACUGACAUUAUAUGGUUUGAUACCAAGAGUGGGCAAAGUAGCUAAUAAGUUGAGCUCAGGGCAACACGGAUGAGGAUCACCAAGGAGGUGACACCCAUGGUAAUCUACACCAAUGCUGGGCAGUUUAUCAACGCUUAACAUUGUGGUUAAUUACCUGAAAGUUACAGAAUUAGUUAGUCACCAGCCCAUGUAGGGCCAGGCCAUGUGGCCAGAUCUAUGAGAGGAAGGAUGACCCUCUCCAACCAGGUAUGGGGACAAACGGCAAUCUGUUAUUGCCUGCCCCAAUGCCCCUAAAGGUAGGGAAACAAACAAACAAACAAAACCUGGUGUUAGCCAUGGACCCUCCAAGCCCCUCACUGCAGAUGGUUGGCUAUCAUAGCCCCCUUGGGGGAGGGUCUGCAGUAUGACUUAUAUGUUAUUCCCUGGGUAUUUAAUGUGUGGCCUCCAUGAUUGACUGUUCGUAGGGGAAUAGCCAGGAAAGGAACCCUCCUCUGGUGGGGGGAACAUAUGUACUGUCUGUGUGGCCUAUUAUGAGCUCCCUUGUGACUUUGGCAUGGAUACAGGACCCAAAAGAACCACAAGCAGCUGAUAAGGUGUGGUACCAUCACCCAGGGCAGAAGCCCUUGGCAGCUACAUUGUUAUCUAGAGAUAAAAGUUGGCUUGCAUUUGGCCUAAGGGACAUGAUUUACCCUUGUUAGUAUCUGUGCCUACUUUGUCAUUCUGGCCGUAGGUUGGCAUGCUCCAACUGCAUUGUGGACUGGGCCCACACCUACGCUGAGGUGACCAAUGUCUCCAACUGUUGGAUCUGUACUACCCUUCCAGCAGCAGCUGUGGAUGGCUUGCCCUGGCACAUGCACCCAGCUUCUGUGAAAAACUGGACACGACUAGAAACUUGUGGUUCCACAGACAAUUGGUGGGAUGCAACACGGCAGGCUUUGGACAGGGGGUGUCGCAAAACCCAUGGCAAGCCUGCCCCCUGGCUGACUCGUAGUGUCUAUGAUGGGUGGGGCUGGCUAAUGGGAGAACACGUGGUGCCCCCAUCGCAGGUACCACGAUGCAUAGAGCAGCACUGGGGUGAAGUCACUGUGGGAUGGUGGCCUGCUGAGGUUUGUGCAAACAUAACAUGUCACCACACCAAGGGUGUUGUGGAACAAGCGGCCUUACCAAGGCUGGGCUCCAAUGGACUUUGUGCCCCCUGAGAGUUUAUGGGUCUGUGGGGCCCAUAAACCAAAUGGCGAUAUCUACCAGCCAAUUGGACUGGAUGUUUUACUUGGGGGUGGUUUUCUGUGCCUGCCACUGUGCUUCCCACAUUGCCUAGUUGCCCGAAUAACUGGGAGGCACUGCGUUCCCAGUUUUUGCCACCCUCUGGUGGCUCCACCCCUUAGCAAUAACUAUCCCUGGAGCAGGUGUCGUUACUAUAGAAAUGCAAGUUACAGCCCUUGCAGAGCACACAGCUCGGGCCCUGAAUUACACCCGAGUUGCUCUCCUUUUGCUAACUGAUGAGGUUGAUCAGAUCAGGAAGGUGGUGCUGCAAAAUCGGAUGGCCUUAAACAUAGUCACAGUUGCUCAGGGUGGCACCUGUGCCCUUGGAGGGACACAAUUUUGUACAUUUAUCCCUGACAUCCACUAGAACAUAAUGGUAGCUUUACAAGGGGUGUCACAGGAGAUUAAGGCUAUUGAGCACCUUACUGAUGACCCUCUGCAGAGACAGUGGGUGCCUCUGGGCACUACCCUAUGCUGGGCUCUAAUAAUCAUAGGUAACGUAACAGGAAUAUUUAUAGUAGGUUGUUGUUCUCUGUAUUGUUGUUGUGACCUAUGAGUUCAGGGUGCUGCCCUAUGUGCAUGGAUCCCCACUAAAAGAACUCCCUCAUUCCAGGGGGUGGAAUGUAAGGCCUGUGUGCCAAGCCUGUUUAUCAAACUCGUGUGCCCAAAACUUAUGUAUAAGGCCUUGUGUGUGUAUAUCAAGCCUAUGUACCCAAAGCUUAUGCAUAUAACCUGUAUCCAAGGCCUAUGUCUCCCUUGGCCUAGGGGGUGGAGUGUAAGGAACAUGGCUGUGCUUUGGUUAAGGAUAGGCCGAGGUAGGAUGUUUACAUCCUGUGUGACUCAGCAGGUUUAGAGCGCAGGCAUAUAACUCCACUUGUUAUCACAGCCAUGUAGCCAUACAUGGGAAGGCCAUCAGUUGGCUCUAUGCCACUAUUGUCUGUAAAAUGUAUGAUUGCCCUGUUGACGUUGUGCUGGUGCACUGGGAGAGAGAGUCAGAGCCGUCCUUUGCAGACAGACGGUGGGGGAGCCAGGACACAGCUUGGCUCACUUGUGCCCAGAGAAACAGUUAAGCUACUGACCCUGAAGCCAAGGGAGAGCUGGCCAUGCAGCUGCAGGUGUGGGGGCUGCUGAAUAAGGCCAUGUCUCAUCUACCUGGUGUCUCUCGAGUGUUCUUCCAGCUCCCUGCCCCACAUCCACCCACUCCCUCAGCCCUCAGUUGGGCUGGAACCUGACACUGAACACGACAAAGGCUGACCCCCAAAUGGUUUUAAAUUACAGUAAAACAAAAACCUCCUUCUAAAGGCCUUAAAAAUUGGAUAAUGACUUAGUUUCAUUCAAAGGAUAGAUUUUAAAAGCCCCUUAUAGCCAUAGCCAGACCUAGAGACCACUCAAAUCCAUAAUGAUACUGGAAUUAUAGAAUUUUAGAACUGGAAAGUAUUUAGGGGGAUAAAAAUCCAUUAAUCUAGUCAUUUUACAGAAAAUAAAAUGAGUUCCAGAAAAGUGAAAUUAUUUACAAAAGUCACACAGCUAAUUAGCUAUUAGAGCUAGGACUAGAAUUUAGUUAUCUUGACUCAAGAUAACCUGCUUUUGAAGUAUCCUUUUAUUACUUAGUUCUGUGACCUUGCUGAGAUUUUCUUAUAUAAAAGAUUGGAAAUAUGUAAAUAUUUAAAUUUUAUUCUUAAAUACUAUUUAUUAAUACAGAGAAAUACUCCUGCUAUAAUUUUAAGUGACACAAUAGUACAACAAUUGUUAAGAACAAUCCACCUGUGUCAAAGAGACACAUACACAAACACACAUCCAUAUACACAUACAAGCUUGGAGAAAAUUCUGAAAGGAUCUCAUUGUCCUAGAUGGUGGCAUUAUGGGCAAUUAUUUUGCAAAUGUCACCCAGUGAAGAAGCAAUGGUGCCUUUGGAAAGUAUGUAGCUCUUAGUUAAGCUUUUAUCUGGAAGGUGCUGGAGAAGGUCUGGGCACAGAGCUGGUUGGCUCCAUGGUUUUGUGACCUGUGCCAUCACAUAGGACCCCAUGUUCAGAAGGACCCCACUCUUGGUUUAAUGCUCUGCUGCCGUGUCUUGAAAUUCUUAAUAAUUUUUUUGAACAAGGGAUGCUGCAUUUUCACUGUGUUCUGGGCCUAAUGAUUAUGUAGUCAAUCUUGUCUGGCAGCUCUUCUCUGGCCCAUUCACUGGUAGAUGAUUGUGGGGUGGUUAUUUCUUUAAAUUUUUCAUUUAAAAAAAAUCAUAUUCAUAUUAUUAAAAAUUAAAAAAUAGAUUUGCAGAAAAAUUAGAUCACCCUUAGAACUCUCAAGGGCAGAUACAUUUUAACUAGCAUCUCUUCACACAUCACAAUGAUGCUUGGUGUUUAGUCUGAAGGAUAAAAAACAAUUCAGUAUUUUAUAGUAUAAAUUGCUAAACACAUAAUUACAAAAAAAGUAUGCCUGUGAAAUUAGGCUAUCUAUUCCUUGAGAGAUGGAAUUAGAUAUUAGUUUUCUAUUGCCACAAAUGUAGCAAUUUAAAGCAAGAGUUUAUUAUCUCCCAGUUUCUGUAGGUCAUAAGUAAGGCCAUAAUGUGACUGGGCUCUCUGCUCAAAGGUCUCACCAAGCUAUAAUCAAGGUGUCAGCCUGGACUGUGUUUCUCAUCUGAGGCUUGAGGUCCUCUUCCAAGAUCAAGUGGUUGUUGGCAGAAUUCAUUUCCUUGCAGGACUGAGGUCCCAGUUUCCUUGCUGGCUGUCAUCCAGGAACUGCUCUCAGCUCCUAGAGGUUGCCCACAUUCCUUACUACAUACCUGCGUCCAUCUUUAAGCCAGCAAUGGCCUAUAUGCUUCAACUCUCUGACUUUCUCUUCUGCAACCAGCCAAGAAAAUUCUUUGCUUUUAAAAGGCUCAUCUGAUUAGGGCAGGUCCACCUGGAUAAUUAGGUCAACUGUGCCAUAAAACGUAACCUAGUCAAGGUAGUAGAUACAUCAAAUUUACAGUAACAGGGUGUGUACAGUGGGGGUAAGUCUUGGGGACCAUUUUAGAAUUCUGCCUACUACAACUGUCCUAAAGAGACUCAUGUGACAAACAAGAGGUUUCUAUACUCUACUUCUCUAUCCAACCCUAUCAUGACUUUAAUAGUCUUUUCAGCCAGGCACAGUGAUGCCCACCUGUAAUCCCAGCACUUUGGGAGGCUGAGGCAGGAGGAUUGCUUGAGAUUAGCAGUUUGAGACUAGCCUGAGCAAUAUAGCGAGAACUUUGUCUCUGCUAAAUAAAUAAAUAAAUAAAUAAAUUGGGCAUGGUGGUGUGUCCCUGUAUUCCCCCAGCUACUUGGGAGCAGAUACUCUAGCCCCAGUCAAGCUUUCAUAUGGCUUCAGCCUUAGUUAACAUCUUGACCCAUUCUUGAUCCUGAGCCAGAACUACUGAGCUAAAUGCUCCUGAAUUCCUGACCCACAGAAACUGAGAUAACUGUUUAUUUUUCCAAGCUGUUAAGUUUUGCAAUAAUUUAUUGUGUAGCAAUAGAUAAUUAACACAAUCAAACUACCAAAGCUUGCUCAAGAAAAGCUUCACAAUGUCCUAUAUCCGUAAAAGAAAUGGAAUUCGUGGUUAAAACCUUUCAACAGAGAAAACUCCAGGUCUGGAUAGUUUCACUGUUGUAUUCUAUCAAGCAUUUAAGAAAGAAAGAAAAAAUGCCAGCUAUUAGCUUAAUUGUUGCUCCUUUCAAAGUAAUAUUUCUUUUGGCUUCUUUAUACUUUUUCCAUCUUUGGUUAUCAGCAGUUUUACAAUGGUGUAAUUUCAUGUGGUUUUCAUUUUAUUUAUCCUGUUUGGGGUUUAUAAGCGUUCUUGAAUCUGAAGUUUGAUGUCUUUCAAUUUUUUUACAAAGUUUUUAAAUAUAUUUUUUGUAUUUUUUUGUUUGUUUGUUUUACCCAAGUCCUGCCUCAGGAUCUAUCUUUCAAUUUUGUAAAGUUUUUAAUAAUUAUCUUUUUUUUUUCUUUUUUUUGAGACAGAGUCUCAAUCUGUCCCCCAGGCUGAAGUGCAGUGGUGCAAUCUCGGCUCACUGCAAGCAAGCUCCACCUCCCGGGUUCACACCAUUCUCCUGCCUCAGCCUCCCGAGUAGCUGGGACCACAGGCGCCCACCACCAUACCUGGCUAAUUUUUUUGUAUUUUUAGUAGAGGUGGUGUUUCACCAUGUUAGCCAGGAUGGUCUCGAUCUCCUGACCUUGUGAUCCACCUGCCUAGGCCUCCCAAAGUGCUGAGAUUACAGGCAUGAGCCACCACGCCCAGCCAAUAAUUAUCUCUUAAACUAUUGCUUAUGUUUCAUUUUCUCUCUCCUCUCUUGGGACAUAAAUUUCCUCUGUUAGAUCUUUUACUAAAUCUAUGUCUCAACUUUUGUAUUUUUAUUAUUUUGUCUCUCUGCAUCAUUCUGGAUUUUUUUUUCUAAUUUGUGUUCAUUCACCAAUUCUUUCUUCAGCUAUGCCUGUUCUGUCAAUUCUAUCCAUCAGUCUCCUAAUUUCAAGCAUGCUAAUUUUCAGUUCUAGUGUUUCCUUUAAAAUUUUUUUUAAAUUGACACAAAAUAAUUGUACAUAUUUAUGGCAUAUAUGGUGAUAUGUUGAUACAUUUACUGCACAGUGAUUAGAUCAGGGAAAUCAGCAUAUUCUUCAACUCAAAACAUUUCUCAUUUGUGUUGGGAACAUUCAAUAUCCUCUAUUUGGAAAUAUAUAUUAUUAACUAUAGUCAUCCUACAGUGCAGAAGAAUGCUAGAACUUAUCCCCCCCAUCUAGCUGUUUCAUUUUGUUUUUAAUAUAAUUUUCAGUUCUUUGCCAAAAUUCUUGUAAGUUUAAUUUUCUUUUUCUUUUUUUUUUUAAGCUUGUCUCUGAAAACUCCAAUAUCUGGAGGUCCCUACAGAUGUUUAAAUAGAAGCUCCUGCUGGUAUUCACUCAUGUCUCUUUCUGUGGCUACUUUUUAUUGUGUGUUCUACAGUGUACCUGCAAAACUGUUUAUAGAUUUAUUUUGAGGCCUAGUUUGUUAGUUUUCUACACUGUGUAACAAUAUUACCACAAAUCUGGUGUGUUAAGAACAAGACACAUUUAUUAUCUCACAGGUUCUGUGGGUCAGGAGUCCAAGCACAGAUUAGCUGGCUUCUUUCUGUUUCCUGGUCUCAAAAGACUGCAAUCAAGGUGUUAGCCAGAGCUAAGGUCUCAGCUAGGGCUCCACUGAACCAGGAUUCACUUCCAAAAUAACAAGGUUGUUGGCAAUCUUCAGUUCCUGGCACACUACUAGAACAAGGAUCUGUUUUCUUGCUGACUACUGGCUAGAGGCCACCCUUAGUUUCUUGCCAUGAGGCCCUCUCCAAAGGCUGGUUUACAUCAUGGCAGCUUGCUUCUUCAAAGUCAACAAGAGUCUCUUAAUAAGAUGAACAUUAGAAUUUGCUGUAAUCAUGUCCAUCUCAUCAUCUUCGUGGUAGUCUAUGGAUUAGAAUCAAGUCAUGGGAGUCUCCCUCCACACAAGGAAUACCAGGGGACAGGGAUCAUAGUGGCCACCUUAGAGUCUGUCUGCCACACCUAGGAUGUUAAUUUCUUCCUGAAAAGCAAAUGUAGAUUUGCUUCUGCCAUGCAUCUGAGAGCUCUAAAAACCUUAGAUAACCUCAAUCUAAUUUCAGAAACUGAGGGUAUUUGAAGCUGAGCUGCCAUCCCUUUGAAGGCCUGCUUACUUCUGGACCACUGUUACUCCUAAUGAGUAGCCAUUUGGGAUCCUCACUCCAAGUAAGGGAAAGGGUUUACCAGUGCAGGCCCCUUCUUCCUUGUCCCAUAAGGUUGUCAAAAUGGCCAUUCAACAGCUCAGCAAUCACUUACCACUCACAGAAUUGGCCAACACAAGGGAAAACAGCUCCCCUAACAAAGUUUCUGUUUCCUUAGGAAUUCUUCAUUGUUGCCAGCUCGCUGAUGUCUUCAACCAGGUGUUUUUAAUUAAUUUAUUUUUAGUUUAUCUUUUUUUUUUUAAGAGAUGGGGUCUCCCUAUGUUGCUGAGGCUGUUCUCAAACUCCUGAGCUCAAGUGAUCCCCUAGCCUUGCCUCCCAAAGUGCUGGGAUUAAAGGUGUGAGCCACCGUGCCCAGCCCAGAUGUUUUUAAAAUUUUGUUCAGCUGCCAGCUUUUCUAGAUGUUCUCAGUGAAGAUCUAGGACAAAUUUCUUGGUCUACCAUCAUUGUAAAUGAAAGCUUUUAUUUUUAUUUAUUGUAGAGAUGGGGGUCUCCCUAUAUUGCCCAGGCUAGUUUUGAACUCCUGGCCUCAAGCGAUCCUCCUACUUUGGCUUCCCAAACUGCUGGGAUUACAGGUGUGCGCCAUUGUGCUCAGCCUACUUUUUUAUGUCCAGCAUUUGGAGAGGGCCACAUGGCAAGAAAUUCACUCAGCAAGAAAACAGAUUCUUGUUCCAGUAGUUUGCUACGAACUGAAUAUUGGCAACAACUCUGUUAUUUUGGAAGUGAAUCCUGCUUCAGUGGAGCCUCAGCUGAGACCUCAGCUCUGAACACAUCUGAAACACAGAUGUGUUUCAACAUAAUCUAACCUAAAGCAAAACAAAGAUUUUUCAACCUAGAAAAAAGAUUAGAGAGUACUAAUUAUAUUGAAUAUUUCUAUUUCUGAAGCUUUCCAUAAUUUGGAAAAUAAAAUAUUAUUAAAUACUGCAUUUUUAUGGCUAAAACAUCAAUCUAGAAAUUAGCAUGGACUUAUAAAACAUUUUAGAUCAGUUGAUAUUUUGCUAAUAUCCCUAUAUGAAAGUCUUAAAUACUGAGUAUUCCUGCAAAUUACAUACAGUAUUGAAUUGCUCAAAACUGCAUUGCCAAAUAUAAACAACACACCGAUUAAACUAGCUACUGUAGUUGUCUAUGGUGCUAUGAUAUGAAGUUAGAAUAUCUGAAGGACAUUAAUAUGUACUUCACUUCAAACGGAAAGCCUGAAAUUGAUGAAAACUUCAACAAUAGAUACUGCAUCCCUAUCUUUAAAAUACACUGGUUUGGGAGGAUAUUAUAUAAAUUUGGUAGCCUUUUAUUCUUAUGUGAAUAAAGCAUCAGACUUUAUUUUUUAAGAUCUGUAACUACUGGAUAUACUUUUAAAAUAAAUAUCUGGCUGGCCACAGUGGCUCAUGCCUGUAAUCCCAGAACUUUGGGAAACCAAGGCAGGAGGAUCACUUGAAUCUAAGAUUUUGAGAUCUGUGCAAAGUAGUGAGACCUCAUCUCUAACAAAAAAUAACAAAACAUUAGCUGGCAUGAUGGCACGAGCCUGUAGUCCUAGCUCCUCAGGAGGCUGAGGUGCGAGCAUCACUUGAGCCCAGGCGGUUGGGGCUGCAAUGUGCGGAGAUCAAGUCACUGCAAUCCAGGCUGGGUGACAGAGACCUUGUCUCAAAAAAGGAGGAAUAUCUAAGAGAAUAAAAUAUGCUUACUUGCUCCAGGAAUAAAUUAAAAAAUAUAAACUAUCAACCACCUUUAGUGGAGACCACUAGCUGUACCUAACUCAAUUCUGUACUUUUUUCCCCAACUUUUCCUGGGCACAUGACUACCUGGAAUGAAAGCUAUAUUUUCCAUCCUUCCUUGCUAUUUACAAGUAAGGCAUUAUGACUAAGUUUGGCCAGUGACAUUUAAAUAGAAGUGUUGGGUACAACUUCUGGGAAAUUUCUUUAGACAGGGGAUGUAACUUUCUCACUGCCCUCUUUCUUGCUGGCCAGAGUGCUGCUGUGAGGGCUAGAGCUUCACCAGCAACCUUGGAUCAUGGGUUGAAUGCCAAGUGCUGAGGUUGGUAGACUAACACAGCAACCCUGAAAUACUUACCUCUGGAAUUCUUUCAUGUGAGAGGAAAAAAAAA
RNAcentral lists this long non-coding RNA (11835 nucleotides) under Homo sapiens (human). Its description in RNAcentral is "non-protein coding lnc-CCDC173-6:1". The record is from RNAcentral. Lineage: Eukaryota; Metazoa; Chordata; Mammalia; Primates; Hominidae.